AAGGGCAUCCGCUGAAUAAAACAUAUGCUGGACUCGUACCCGCUCGUCCUCGUCAUCGUGGUCAACUCCUCUCUGCAUCUCAAAUCUGCUGAUGAACAUGAUGAGCUUACUGGAUAAACUGGUUGCGGUGGGAAAGCCCUUCACACGGAGAUCAGAUUUAGAAUUCAAGAAUCACCAAAGAGCAGAGACACAACAGCUCCCUCUAAAGGCCGCUUGCUGCCCCUGCAGUCAGAAAACAACAAGGAAGUAGAUGAGACGUGAUAAUGAAGACGCGAUAUGAUCGACUGUAUCGUUAAUACAUUAUUAAUACAUGACUUCAUAGCAGUUAAUCAAAUAAAAAAUAAGGUAGUUUAGUUGCUGGACGUUUAUGUUUAAACUCUGUAGCUUUAUUUCCACCUGAGGUUGUGUUCUGGGCUGCCCAUCACAAUAUGGAUACCAGAACUUGUUUGUGGUUCAUAGGAUUUCAUAGGGUCCCCAUUUGGACUCCAAAAUAAAUACAUAUGUAUGCUCUAGAAACCUUAACUUCCCUUUACUUCGGCAAGAUGAUUCAAAACAGCCUAUAAAAUACUGGUUGCAAAACUGCAGAGUUGGGACAUCAGUAUGCUAAGCAACACAGGAAACUGACUAAACAUUGGAGGAGUUGUGUGAAUCGCCUGCGCUCUAGAAUGAUGUUAUUUGAUUAAUAUGAUACUGGGUGGAUGCCUGUGGGAGCAGCUGGUUUGGUGUUUGUCUUAAGAUUGUUUAAAAACUCCUAGGCCUUUGUUUGGGAGGGCUCCUGAUUUCUCCUGACAGGGAGUGAGAUGUUGAGCAGUCAGUUGUUAUGUAAUACACCUGAAAGAAGCCGCAGCAUGAGGUCAAGAGGGUUACUUGGGUCAUUCUGGGUUACAAUUUUUCUAUUUACUUCAUCUGCUUACUGAGGAAAAGUGAAGAUGAUUAUGAAAAUAAUGAAGAUUGUGUACAAUGUUGAUGAAAGUUAGGUUUUGAGAUAAAGACUAAGUAUAUUCACAUUUUGACUGGGAUUACUGGAAAAUUUAUUCAGAAAGAAACUACUUUCACAAAGGUGCCACAGUAAAAUGAUUAGACAAAUGCAUCACUAUAUAAAAAAUCCAUUUACAUAUAGGCUUCACUCCUAUCUCUGCAAAAAAUACAUCAGAAAUCAGAAAGAGCUAGGUAGGUUCACACAGGAGAAUUUGUUUUUGUGACAGAGCUUCUACACUGCAACAGAAUUACAGAGACAGGACAACAAACAGAUAUUAAAUGUAGAGAAGAAACAGUUUCUGUGUCGGGUUGUUCUGCAGCACAGUGCUCUGUAGUGUUGACCAAUAGGUAAAGAGGCAGUGUGAGGGGUUCAGAGUGAUUUUGGCAGCCUUUCUGCUCGCUCUACAUGAGUACAGUUCUUGGAGAGUAGGGAGGGUUGUAUCUGUGAUUCGCUCAGCAGCCUGACGUAGUCUUCGAAGGUCAGAUUUGGUAGCUGAGGUAAACCAGACAGUGAUUAAAGUGCAGAGGACUGAUUCAAUGAUGGAAGAGUAGAACUGUUUAAGCAGCUCCAUUGGAAGGUUGAACUUAUUCAGCUGACGAAGGAAGUGCAGCCUCGAUUAAGUUUGUUGACAAUGGAGUCAAUGUGAAUGUCCCAUUUCAGGUCCUGAGAGAAGGUGGUGCUCACUGCUCAGGAACCUGAAUGACUUCACUGCUGCCACAAUGCACUCCAUAAUGCUCAGGGGGAGAGCAGAGGGGUUUCUCCUGAAGUCCACUAUCAUCUCUACUGUUUUAAGCUCCAGGUUGUUGUGAAAUACAUAAAGAGUCAUUUACAUUGAUAUUUUAGAAACACGUUUGAAAUAUUUAUUCAUGCAUUCAUUUUCAAUCGCUUUUCCUUGGCCGGGUCGCGGCGUCAGCAGUCUUAGGAGAAAACCUUAGACUUCCCUCUUCCCAGACACUCCAGCUCCGCCAGCCAAGAAAAGACAUAGUCCCUCCAGAGUGUCCUGGGUCCUACCCAAUGCCUCCUACUGGGACAUGCCUGAUACACCUCCCUAGGUAAUUCUUUGAAAAACCGCAUUAUAAUUGUAACCCUUCAUUCAUUCAUUUUCUUUUCGGCUUAGUCCCCUCGUUAUUCUUGGGUUGCCACAGCGGAAUGAACCACCAACUUAUCCAGCAUGUUUUACGCAGCAGAUGCCCUUCCAGCUGCAACCAAUCUCUGGGAAACCCAGUAACUUAAUGUAAUUUAAUUAACUUGUAAAUAUACUCAUCAAAAAUUUAAGUUUUAGUAAAUGUUCUCUCAGAGACUAAACCUCUUAACAGGACUAGUGUACACAUUUUUAACAAAAUAAAAGUUAAACUUAUAUAUAUA
Molecule: non-coding RNA, 2344 nt
Organism: Danio rerio (zebrafish)
Lineage: Eukaryota; Metazoa; Chordata; Actinopteri; Cypriniformes; Danionidae
Source: RefSeq, a predicted model, not a curated record